GCGUUGUCCGGAAUUAUUGGGCGUAAAGAGCUCGUAGGCGGCUUGUCGCGUCUGCUGUGAAAACUGGAGGCUCAACCUCCAGCCUGCAGUGGGUACGGGCAAGCUAGAGUGCGGUAGGGGAGAUUGGAAUUCCUGGUGUAGCGGUGGAAUGCGCAGAUAUCAGGAGGAACACCGAUGGCGAAGGCAGAUCUCUGGGCCGUUACUGACGCUGAGGAGCGAAAGCAUG
Molecule: ribosomal RNA, 226 nt
Filed under: uncultured bacterium
Lineage: Bacteria
Description: partial 16S ribosomal RNA
Rfam family: Bacterial small subunit ribosomal RNA
Source: RNAcentral